GCCGCAGUAGGAUAAUCCGGUAAUCCGGGAAACUAAGACCUUCCUGUCCGAAAGGACUUCUGGGUUCAAAUCGCGGAAAGGAUUAAGCCUUUUUGGGUGAGACUCCCAGCUGCGGCG
RNAcentral lists this transfer RNA (117 nucleotides) under Candidatus Woesearchaeota archaeon. Its description in RNAcentral is "tRNA-Leu". The record is from RNAcentral. Lineage: Archaea; Nanobdellati; Candidatus Woesearchaeota.